AUUCGUUUCCAAUUCCACCAUUCCAUUUCCACCAUUCCAUGUUUUCCUCCAACCCCACCAACCCCAAAAUGCCUCGCCCUAAAUCCCGUCGGGAAAAUAAUAGGCCUCAGUCUAAUCGUCGUGAUCGCGAAGUAUUCGAUCGUGCCCCCGCAGAUCCGAGAGAUUUUCGUGGUAGAAAUGACCCAUCUGGAUACGAUUACAGGGAUCGGGAUGGAUAUAAUAUGCGCGAUACGGCGAUAGGUACUAUCGUGGUAGUAACAGAGACGUACCGGGAGGAUAUCGUCCAUCGGAUGGUGAUCGUGAUAGCCAACCUUAUCGUGGUGUUGAUCGUGGAGGGGAUCGUGGGGAGAAAUUUGUGAAAGGGGAGACAUUUCUACGUGACGGCCUUGGCGGACUUGACUGAGGCCCUUCCGCAAACUUAUCUCAAUUUUUCCACUCUAACGCAACCGGCUCUGAAAAAUGACGAAUUCAUACUCCUUUGGAAAACUAGGCUUCGCUGGUGGAAAUUUUAUCUUCAACAGCCCGUUCUUCUCAACACGACGGGCAUUCAGACGAAACGUUUGUGGAACAGAAGAUUGAAUUUGUCUCCCCCGCUCUGGGAUCGGAACCUUUCGAAGUCUUAAAACUUUACAAACCCGCUGUGUUUGCAGAUCUGCAGUUGAAUGAGGAGACGAAAAAGUCAUUGAUGGUCAAGUUUCAGCGGAAAUCUUCUUGGCCGUGUUUAGUUACGUCCCAGACUCCCAGGUGAAAUUGGAGUUUACCGUUUGUUUCUUUCUUACAGACGCUUAUUUCACCCGAAAUAAGGCAUUUGUGUUAUCGCUUCACAAGGCUUAGCUCCGUAUGCUGUUGGUAUUUUGGUUGAAGGCUCCCCUACACCAAUAGUCGAAUUAGAGGAUCUUCGCCGUUUAAUGAGUCUCAAAUUUAAACAGUCGAAAAUUCCGGUCUUGCCAUUAAGCGCUCCUUGGACGACGGCUCAAUGCGACGCUAGAGGAAUGCCUUAUUUAAUAUUUUUGUCAGAUUCGACUUUCGAGCAAGGGAUAUACGGUCACUGGUUUUCUAUCUUUAAUACAUUCGAAUUAAAUAACCAUUCCCUAAUAAUACGUACGAACUUCUGUGUGAAUAAAAGAUACGAUACAUUACGUGGCAUAUUCAUUUAGAAUUGUAAAGAGAAUAAAAGAAUCAUCCUGACCAAAUACCAAAGAUAAAAUAGAGAGUACCAAUGUCCUUUAAUCCCA
Molecule: long non-coding RNA, 1235 nt
Organism: Daphnia pulicaria
Lineage: Eukaryota; Metazoa; Arthropoda; Branchiopoda; Diplostraca; Daphniidae
Exons: 4
Source: RefSeq, a predicted model, not a curated record